AGUGAACGCUAGCGGCAUGCUUAACACAUGCAAGUUGAACGAAGUUAAUAGUUUUCGGAUUAUUAACUUAGUAGCAAACGGGUGAGUAAUGUAUAGGAACUUGCCCUAGAGUGGGGGACAGCUUUUGGAAACGAAGAUUAAUACCGCAUAUACCAUUUAUGGGAAAGUCGUAAGACGCUCUAGGAUAGGCCUAUAUCCGAUUAGCUUGUUGGUGAGGUAAUGGCUCACCAAGGCUGUGAUCGGUAGCCGAUCUGAGAGGAUGAUCGGCCACACUGGAACUGAGACACGGUCCAG
RNAcentral lists this ribosomal RNA (294 nucleotides) under uncultured bacterium. Its description in RNAcentral is "partial 16S ribosomal RNA". It matches the Rfam family "Bacterial small subunit ribosomal RNA", at positions 29 to 334 of the family's 1533-position model. The record is from RNAcentral.